GUCAUGCUAGAUUUCCCCAGUCCUUUUAAAGCUUCAACAAUGUCUUUAAGAGGAGUUCUGUGCCAUGAGAGAGAAAAACGCACAGCCUUUUUCCAUUUGAUUUUGGGUAGAUGUUUCAACCAGAAUCAAUCUUUUGCAGCAAAAGAUUUUAAAAAAAUCUUUUAUAAAAUAUUUUUGCUAAAAAAUUUGCUAAAAGCUAGCCAAUUUAAUUGGGUUUUACAAUACCAAAGACGACCUGUCACAUCUACAGCAUCUUUAAAAGCUACAGAUAGAAAUAUAAUUAUAUGCCAGUUCAUUUUUGCAUUCAUUUUGGCAUGCAGCAGAACCCCUUUCUCUAGCCAGUCUCUGCUAUUGCAGCAACACCCUGUGCUCAGCAGCGACCUGGACUUUGAUAGAAGUGGCACCAUUUUUACACCUUUAUGCCCUGGUGUUAUUCAUACUGUGUACCUUUUGCUACCAAAAGCCUCUGCAUUUCUUAAAGCUUUGUCUCAGAAGAAAGAAAUCCGGGUCAAACUCCCCUGCCUGAAAGCAAGCUGGUGGGAGAUUUAAACCUUUGUCUUAGCUCCACAUCUUAGGUGACUCUUCUGAAGAUUUAAGAGUACUAUGAAAACAUUGUCCUCUUUGCUGUGUUUUGCAUGGAACUUUAUAACAACUGAAAAGCAAGAAGCUGUUCGCAGCCUAAGAUCUAAUACAGUAAAUUAGGUCACUUCAGCUGCGUUUGUAGCAAGAUGUACGAAAGUCUGUUCCUCCCAUUGAUAACAUUGUUCCCUUGCCUAUAGGUGUUGGUUUGGAAACAAACGUAGAGCUACAAUUUAAAGUGAAACUCAUGAUUAUUCGUCCCUCAGCUAUUUUUUCCCCUCUUAUUUUGUUUCUAGUUUAACCAUUCCGGUGCAGUGAACAACUUCUGCGCUGCUGUGAGCUUGACUCCUAGCCUCAAGAUCUCACCCUCCCCAGUGUUGUCUGGAUAUCAAUUCUUUCAACCCCCAGUCCUUCCUCACAGCAAUUGCAGACUUUAGCACAUGAAACUGUAACCAAGCAAUGAACUGCAACAAAAGGCAUGCAUCAGAGGAGCUCAGGACCAGGAGGAAACCCUCUGCAUUUUUGUCAUGUAAGAAUGUCUUCUGCACUUCCAGCUAUACUGUACCAUAUUAGAUAAAUCUAAUUCCCUAGCUAAAGCACUACUUAAAUAAUUUUAAAGCAAAUUUAUCUACAUCGAUAAAUAGCACUGCUGGUCUGUGCUAUCAGAUUUUCUUUUAAAACAAGACUUUCAUUUAGGGCAAAAGUAAAAGGGUUGUGGGUAAACCUAGGGUCACUAAGGGCACUUCAUAUACCUGAAAGGAUUUACUCCUAUUUAAUGGACAUUUUUGAAUUGCAUUUUCUCCCUUGACUGUUUAGUUUGAGGAAAGCUGAAAAGUCUGGAGAUUGUUAGCUCAGUCUCCCACACUCGGUCUCCACACUGGGACAUGGCCUCCAGUAGAUUUCCCUGGGCUGAGCACAGUGCAGUUACCAAGCUGUAACUGUGUGUCUCCAGAACAGCCUCUCUGGCUCUCACCAGCACACAGACAUUACCUCCAAGUAAAGCACAGGCAAUUCAUUCUACACAGGGCCUCAGGACUUAGAUCCACCUUAUCUGCUGCUUUGUUUAACAACAUUUAUACUUCAGGACACUUAGCAUUUGCUCUCACAAGGCUCCUUACACCCAGGUUCCUCUUGUGACAGAUGUGAAGGAACCUCAUUCUCACCAACAAUGGUUGAAAAAUAGAGUGCUUUCAGAUAGGCUGCCAAACAAAGCAUAUCCUCCCUCUUCUCACCAGUGGUGGGAGCUGGCAGCAGCUACUGAAUGAUCUUUGCAUUGAAGAGGAGCUACGAGACAAAUUCGCUCCCCUCUUUUCAUUUUUGGUGCUCCAUGUCCCAGAACCACACUAAUCACAGCAUUGCAGAGCUCAGUACAACUACAGGUAGAAGCACUAGCAACAGUACCCUGGUCUGACACCUCUAGUACCUCUUCUGGCUACAGCAACUGUUUUCUGAGGGGAAAGGUGAACAUGGUUUAGGUUUGUAAAUGGUUUGCCAUUCACAAAAUCCACAUCUUCUUCCAUAUUAUGCAGCAAGCUGUGACUCACAGGGAGGUGCAAGGGAGCUCAGCAAGGCCAGCUGUUGCACUAGGUAUCAGGGAACUCUAAGUUAUGGCAGGAAAAACAUUUCCUUGUGGGUCCCAAUAUGUAAAAAGUAUAAUGUGGUAUCUGUCCAGGGGAAAAAAGCUACCUUUCAGCAGUCAGGCUUAAUUAGCAAGUUAGGCAAGCCUGACAUCAGCCAAACUGUUCAUUUCAUUCAUCACUUUUCUUUAGAACUGGAAAGAAAAAUAGAAAUCAAAAGCUAGACAUAAUAUUUUAGAAACUGGAAAAACAGGUGGGAAUAAAACCAAUGGUACGAAAGAGACUACAAUAUUCUCAACUCCUGUGCACAGCUAUAAUGUAAAAUAUACUUACUAGUGAGUAUGUCAAAGAAAUAGUGCAUAAUAUACUUACUACUAAGUAUGUCAAAGAAAUAAACUAAUUUUGUUUGCAAGGAGAAA
Non-coding RNA from Taeniopygia guttata (zebra finch), 2575 nucleotides. Lineage: Eukaryota; Metazoa; Chordata; Aves; Passeriformes; Estrildidae. The record is from RefSeq and is a predicted model, not a curated record.